UGUAAUGAGUGAAAACAAUGUGACAGACAUUUGUGGGUUUUGAGUGGAGAGAUGAGAAGAUGGGUAGUCCCGCAGUUGUAGUAGGCCUUCCUUCUCCUCCAAAUCUUAACGGCUCUCUCUCUCCUCCAAUUCCCACAACUUCCAUAAGCAGCUCGAAGAAAAAGGAUGGAAUUGGAGAGCUAAUGGUAAGGAAGCAGACAGGGGAUGGUGGGUACAAGUGGCGUUUGGUGAUUGCUUAUGACGGCACUCGUUAUGCAGGAUGGCAAUACCAGAGUUCACCGCCUACAAUACAGUGCUUUGUGGAGAAUGCUAUAAUGAGCGCAACGAAGCUGGAAAGGAAGGAUCUUCAUUUCGUUGGUGCAAGUAGGACGGAUAAAGGAGUACAUGCCUGGGGUCAGGUUGCACACUUUGUCACACCUUUCAACUAUGACAGCAUUGAAAGCAUUCAUGCUGCUCUUAACGGUCUUCUUCCUGAUGAUAUCCGAGUUAGGGAGAUCAGCCCUGCAGUGCCUGAAUUCCAUGCUCGUUUUUCAGCGAAAAGCAAGAUUUAUCAUUACAAAAUAUAUAACGACACAUUCAUGGAUCCAUUUCAGCGUCACUAUGCUUACCAUAGUGCUCAUAAGCUAAACGCCGCUGUUAUGCAAGAAGCUGCAAAGUAUUUUAUUGGAAAACAUGAUUUCUCUGCUUUUGUCAAUGCCUCCCAGAAGGAAAGAGUGCGUGAUCCAGUCAAGGAUAUAUUCCGUUUUGAUGUCAUUGAAAUGGGAGCUCUUUUGCAGCUAGAAGUUGAAGGCUCUGGCUUCUUAUACAGACAAGUCCGGAACAUGGUUGCUCUGCUGAUUCAAAUUGGAAGGGAAGCGCUUCCUCCUGAUAUUGUUCCCAAGAUAUUGGCAACACGAGAUCGGAGGGUGCUUGCCAAAUAUACCAUGUUUACUCCACCUCAUGGGCUUUGUCUUGUGACGGUCAAGUAUAACGAGGAGCAUCUACGGCUUCCAUCCAGUUGCUCCACAACCAGUUUUGGUAGGCAUUAUACUAUCGGCUCAUGCAUUUUACAAGGUGCACAAAGAGUUAUGUGCUUGUAGCUGGUUGUUGAUCAAAAGUAGCUAAUAUAUCAGAGUCAUGGUCUUCAUCAAUCACUUCAGUGAUUUCUCUCCCAUGACGCUUGCUAUCUUCAAAUUUCCAACUGCUCCCAAAAGAUAUCUCACCAUCGAGGUGGAAAACGCUGAUCAGAAUCCGGAGCUUCCUUAACUAUUUUAUCCGCGAUUGAAAUUUCAGUCGUGUCACAAUUGUGUGCAUGAGGCGACGAUGAGUGGGAGUGGCUCCUUGAAAUGGAUCUGCUCUUGGAAAGUCUCUGUCUUGCUUUCUUGUGCCAGUUUUGGAGGCCUUCAACUACAGAUUCAGUAAACACUGCUCUCCUCAUGCCAGAACCCAUCUAUCAAGUAAACCAACCAUUAAUGAAAAGGAAAAACAAAAAAGAAGAAGAAAUGUCAUUGAUUUUGAAAUUAUUAUCCAUUACUCUCUGUAUCUCAAUUCUUUCAAUCUCAUAUAUAUCCACAUUUUCUUAAGAGAAGGACCUUCAGAUGACGUUCCACAUUUCACUGUAAAAUUAAUUGACAAUAUGAAAGGGAACUAAACUCUUUAUGAUCGCA
Pyrus x bretschneideri (Chinese white pear) is the source of this 1646-nucleotide RNA transcript. It is a transcript of the gene named tRNA pseudouridine synthase A 1-like, with no coding region annotated. Lineage: Eukaryota; Viridiplantae; Streptophyta; Magnoliopsida; Rosales; Rosaceae. The record is from RefSeq and is a predicted model, not a curated record. The transcript is spliced from 8 exons.